CCUGAGCAUCACCCGCCACCCAGCCGGCCCAGCCUUGCCUCUGCAGGCUCCCUCCACGCACAAGCCUGUGACCCGGACCCAGUAUAUCCCAGUACAUGUAGUUUGAUCCCAGCAAAAAUACUGGACUAAGGGCAUGGGAAUCUGAAGACCUCUGUUUCUCCUAGAAGAGUGAUAAAGUAGGAAGGAGAGAUGGGAAACCCAGAAAACAUUGGAGAUGCAUAUGUUGCUGUGAUUCGUCCAAAAAAUACUGCUAGCCUGAAUUCUCGGGAAUAUCGAGCUAAAUCCUACGAAAUUUUGUUGCUUGAAGUUCCCAUUGAAGGCCAAAAGAAAAAAAGAAAGAAAGUUUUGUUGGAAACUAAACUGCAGGGAGGCACUGAGAUAACCCAGAGCAUCUUGGAUUACGUAUUAGAAGCCACCAAACCAAUUUCACCAGCCAAUCAGGGUAUUAAAGGAAAGCGUGUAGUGUUAAUGAAGAAGUUUCCUCUUGAUGGAGAGAAGGCAGGCCAGGAGGCAUCACUUUACGUUGUUCCAGCUGUUGUGAAAGAUAAUACAAAAUAUGCAUAUAGUCCUGGAUGCCCUGUGUUCUACUGUUUCCAAGACAUCAUGAGAGUCUGCAGUGAAUCCAGCACCCAUUUUGCUACGCUUACUGCAAGAAUGCUAAUUGCCUUGGAUAAGUGGUUAGAUGAACGACACACCCAGUCUCACUCCAUCCCAGCUUUAUUCAGACCAUCUCCUCUUGAGAGAAUUAAAACAAAUGUAAUAAACCCUGCCUAUGCUAUAGAACCUGGUCAAACAGAGAGCUCGUUACACAUGGGUUACACUGCCCUGGAAAUAAAGAGUAAAAUGCUGGCAUUGGAGAAAGCAGAUAUGUGUAUCUAUAAUCCUUUGUUUGGGUCUGACCUUCAGUAUACCAAUAGGGUUGACAAAGUGGUAAUAAAUCCAUACUUCGGCCUGGGAGCCCCAGACUAUUCAAAGAUUCAGAUUCCUAAAAGAGAGAAGUGGCAACGUAGCAUGAGCAGUGUCACAGAGGACAAGGAACACCAGUGGGUAGAUGAUUUUCCUCUUCACCGCAGUGCUUGCGAAGGCGACUCUGAUUUACUAAGCCACCUUCUGGAUAAAAAGUUUUCUGUUAAUCAGUUAGAUAGUGACCACUGGGCACCUAUUCAUUACGCAUGCUGGUAUGGAAAAGUUGAAGCCACUCGAAUGCUGUUGGAGAAAGGGAAAUGCAAUCCAAAUCUUUUGAAUGGCCAGCUUAGCUCUCCUCUUCAUUUUGCUGCUGGAGGUGGGCAUGCUGAAAUAGUACAGAUUCUACUAAAUCAUCCAGAAAUUGACAGACACAUUACUGAUCAACAGGGAAGAUCUCCACUGAAUGUCUGUGAAGAGAACAAACAAAAUGAGUGGGAAGAAACUGCAAAACUGCUGAAAGAAGCCAUAAAUAAACCUUAUGAAAAGGCACGAAUUUAUCGUAUGGAUGGGUCAUAUCGCUCUGUUGAGUUGAAACAUGGAAACAAUACUACUGUACAGCAGAUAAUGGAGGGGAUGCGUUUGUCUCAAGAAACUCAGCAGUACUUCACUAUCUGGAUCUGUUCUGAGAACCUCAGCCUCCAACUGAAGCCAUAUCACAAGCCUUUGCAGCAUAUUCGAGAUUGGCCUGAAAUAUUUACUGAACUAACAAACUUGGAUCCUCAAAGGGAAACUUCACAGCUUUUCCUGAGAAGAGAUGUGAGACUGCCACUGGAAAUAGAAAAAAAGAUUGAGGAUCCAUUGGCUAUUCUUAUUCUUUUUGAUGAAGCCAGAUAUAAUUUACUGAAAGGUUUCUAUACAUCACCUGAUGCCAAGUUGAUCACACUGGCAAGUCUGCUUCUACAAAUAGUCUAUGGAAAUUAUGAGAGCAAGAAACAUAAACAGGGCUUUCUAAAUGAAGAAAAUCUUAAAUCUAUAGUACCAAUCACUAAGCUAAAAAGUAAAGCUCCUCAUUGGACAAACAGGAUACUUCAUGAAUACAAGAAUCUCAGCACCAGUGAAGGUGUAAGUAAAGAGAUGCAUCACCUUCAGCGCAUGUUCUUGCAGAAUUGCUGGGAAAUUCCUACUUACGGAGCAGCUUUUUUCACAGGACAGAUAUUUACCAAAGCAAGUUCAAGUAGCCAUAAAGUCAUCAAAGUGUAUGUAGGAGUAAAUGUAAAAGGGCUGCACCUCCUCAACAUGGAAACAAAGGCUUUACUUCUUAGCCUAAAGUAUGGUUGCUUUAUGUGGCAGCUGGGAGAUGGAGAUACAUGUUUUCAAAUCCACAGUCUGGAAAACAAAAUGAGCUUUAUUGUGCAUACCAAACAGCCAAUGUGAAAGUGCCAUCCAAUGUCUUGCAAAGCAGGUGCUGCUACCGAAGAGCAGUAACAGGCUCAUCUUUGCAAGGUCAUCUUUCUUCGCUGGAGACAUGAACAGUGUGUUGAAUUAAAGGGUUGAAGGUAAGAGAACAUUUCCUUUGGGUAAGAAAAACUUGUGUUGCCAGGUUAUUGUGCUGCAAAAUCAUUAUUAAUAGACUUCCUCCUAACAGAUGUAAAAGCUCCUGUGUUUGAACACACCUAGAGUAAACAAAGAGCAGAAAAAUAGCUUCUACAGAGGCAAACUUAGGAACGUAUUAACCUACUUCGAAUAGCAGAAUUGGACAAAAAUUAUUAGGAUCCACUUUUAAUUACAAAUAGUAGACAUGAACCUCACUUUAUAUAGUGUUAUUGAGGUAUACCUUGAGGUGAUAUUUUGAUAAUUAGAUUGAUCAAAAAUAGACCAUAUAUUUUUUAUUUUUCUAGAACUAUUAGGAAUGUAGGUAUUUUCCAUCCCAAUCAAUGUCAAGAGACAAAACAACUAGCUGGGAUUUGCUAGAUAAUCCUGUCUCCAAGAUUCCUCUCUGUGAAAUGAACAAAUCCUUCCAACUCAUGUCAUGCUUCUUAAAAUUAGUUGGUCAUUAAACUUUCACUACUCAAGAAAAGCUAUACUGCAUCUCUGAUUUCUUAUAGCAGAAAAAAUUCCUUUACAUUUCUAAAAGCCAAAGUUUGAUUUUUUUUUUUUUUUUUUUUUUUACUAAGGAACAGAGCAAAACAAUCUCCUGAUGAGUUAUCUCUCUUUUCGCCAGAAAUUGCAAAAUCUGUAUUUCAUACCUGAUUUCAGAAAAGGCUCUUAUUUCUUUAUAUGAUUUCAAAUGUGGUUAUGAUCUUUCCCAAGGGCUGGCUUUCUUCAGACCAGGGAGCAAAAAGUAAGCGAUCUUACGUCCAUUUACUCAGAGAGUUGUAGCUUUAGUUUCAACAAAAACUGCAGAACAGUUGAAGUUCCAAGAAGGAAAAUAAAAAUUAGAAAAGACCAAAGUAAGAACAGAACCAAAAAGAAUAAAAUUAUGUUUCACUAUCCUAUGUCUGAAGAAAACAGAUAAUAAAAUUAGUGUUCUGAGGGUAAAGUUUUUCAUUAAUAACAGUGACCAAAAGAACAUAUGCCAAAGCUCCAGCUAUAGAUGUAUUAUUCUACUGCACGAUUUUUACUGCCUUUCUAGUAUCAUGUCUAAAAAGCUUCCCUGCAGUUUUUUGUCCUCAGCAUCCAUAUUUUUAUUGUCAAAUACCAAAUUAGCUUCCACUAGGAAUUGAAGGUCAGAAGCUUUUAUUGUUGGAAUUAAAUUAUGGAACCUUAUUUUGCCUGCAGGAAAGUUACUUUUUAAACUUUCUGCAGACAAGAAAGAGUUGUAUCUAAAUAAAUGAACUGUUCUAUUUCUUUAUCAGUUAUUUACAGUUCCAGAGAAGCUAUCUAAACUGGUUUGUAUCAGGGAAUUGGACAUAUAUCACAAUUCAUUAAAGGAACUUACAGACAGCAUCAAA
This is an RNA transcript of Tyto alba (common barn owl), 3857 nucleotides long. It is a transcript of the gene named KRIT1 ankyrin repeat containing, with no coding region annotated. The record is from RefSeq and is a predicted model, not a curated record. The transcript is spliced from 19 exons. NCBI's taxonomy places the organism in Eukaryota, Metazoa, Chordata, Aves, Strigiformes, Tytonidae.